UACGGGGGGGGCAAGCGUUGUUCGGAAUUACUGGGCGUAAAGGGCUCGUAGGUGGCCAACUAAGUCAGACGUGAAAUCCCUCGGCUUAACCGGGGAACUGCGUCUGAUACUGGAUGGCUUGAGUUCGGGAGAGGGAUGCGGAAUUCCAGGUGUAGCGGUGAAAUGCGUAGAUAUCGGGAGGAACACCGGUGGCGAAGGCGGCGACCUGGGUCGAUACUGACGCUGAGACGCGAAAGCGUGGGGAGCGAACAGG
This 253-nucleotide ribosomal RNA is filed under the name uncultured bacterium. RNAcentral describes it as "partial 16S ribosomal RNA". It matches the Rfam family "Bacterial small subunit ribosomal RNA", at positions 524 to 776 of the family's 1533-position model. The record is from RNAcentral.